This 336-nucleotide unclassified non-coding RNA is filed under the name Hevea brasiliensis (rubber tree). Lineage: Eukaryota; Viridiplantae; Streptophyta; Magnoliopsida; Malpighiales; Euphorbiaceae. The record is from RNAcentral.
CCGGUGAACGUGAACGGGCUCGGAUUGUUGCACAACACCCGCCGCACGCCGGGGACGACCUCGUCCACGACGCCGGGCGCAAGCGGGAAAUCCCGAUUGAACGGAAUGUCUUCGUUAUCGCUCAAGUUCAGCCCUCGCCUGGCAAGGCGUUACGAAAACGCCUGAAUGCCGGUGAUGGCGCGGCCGAGAAUGAGGGCGUGAACGUCGUGGGUNAGGUGUUCACGGUCUCGAGGUUCUGCGCGUGACGCAUCACAUGGUAUUCGCUCGAAAUGCCNGCUGGAAAUGCCGUUGCCGCCAUGCAUGUCGCGGGCAACGCGGGCGAUGUCGAGGGCCUUG